ACUUCGAGCAGGGUGAUGGCGUACUUUUUGUAGAACGGACCGGCGAGUUACAUCCGGCGUGCGAGGAUAAGGCUGACGAGGCCGCAUCCGUAGCGAAAGCAAGUCUUAAAAGGGCGAGAUAGUACGCUGGAGUAGACCCGAAACCGGGUGAUCUACCCAUGUCCAGAGUGAAGCGGGAGUAACAUUUCGUGGAGGCUCGAACCAACCGUCGUUGAAAAGGCGGUGGAUGAGGUGUGGGUAGUGGUGAAAUGCCAAUCGAACCCGGAAAUAGCUGGUUCUCCCCGAAAUAGCUUUAGGGCUAGCCUUGUGGCAUAAGCCCCGGAGGUAGAGCACUGAAUGGGCUAGGGGCCUUCACCGGUUACCGAACUCAAUCAAACUCCGAAUGCCGGGUGCUUGGACCACAGGAGUCAGACUGCGAGUGCUAAGAUCCGUAGUCGAGAGGGAAACAGCCCAGACCGCCAGUUAAGGUCCCCAAACCGUGCUAAGUGGAAAAGGAUGUGAGGUUGCCCGGACAACCAGGAUGUUGGCUUAGAAGCAGCCACCAUUUAAAGAGUGCGUAAUAGCUCACUGGUCAAGUGACCUUGCGCCGAAAAUGUAACGGGGCUCAAGCACGGUACCGAAACUGCGGACUACUCGAGGUUCGAUGUUCGAGGUUCGAAAUUCGAAUCGAACAUCGAACAUCGAACUUCGAGAGUGGUAGGGGAGCGUUCCCAUUGGGUAGAAGCCGUACCGGAAGGAGCGGUGGACCGGUGGGAAGUGAGAAUGCCGGUAUGAGUAAGCGAAAAGGCAGGUGAGAAUCCUGCCCGCCGAAAGCCUGAGGAUUCCUGGGGAAGGCUCGUCCGCCCAGGGUAAGUCGGGCCCUAAGCCGAGGCCGAGAGGCGUAGGUGAUGGACAAUCGGUUGACAAUCCGAUACCACCUUGGUGCCGAUUGAGUGAAGGGGUGACACAGGAGGGUAGGCCGAGCGCGCGGCUGGAAAAGCGCGUCCAAGCCGGUAGGGAGUGGAGCAGGCAAACCCGCUUCACACAAAAACCCGAGAGGUGAGGGGGAGCGAAGACAAGUAGCGAAGCGGCUGACCCCAUACUGUCAAGAAAAACCUCUAGCGAGGCAACAAGGUGCCCGUACCGCAAACCGACACAGGUAGGCGGGGUGAGAAUCCUAAGGCGCGCGAGAGAACCCUCGUUAAGGAACUCGGCAAAAUGACCCCGUAACUUCGGGAGAAGGGGUGCCCCGUUAGCGUGAAGGACUUUUACGUUUGGAGCGCGAGGGGGUCGCAGAGAAAAGGCCCAAGCGACUGUUUACCAAAAACACAGGUUCCUGCUAAAUCGCAAGAUGACGUAUA
Molecule: ribosomal RNA, 1340 nt
Filed under: Desulfallas sp. Bu1-1
Lineage: Bacteria; Bacillati; Bacillota; Clostridia; Eubacteriales; Desulfallaceae
Description: partial 23S ribosomal RNA
Rfam family: Bacterial large subunit ribosomal RNA
Source: RNAcentral